RNAcentral lists this unclassified non-coding RNA (404 nucleotides) under soil metagenome. RNAcentral's name for it is "partial contains 5.8S ribosomal RNA, internal transcribed spacer 2, and large subunit ribosomal RNA". The stretch from base 5 to 120 matches the Rfam family "5.8S ribosomal RNA", at positions 40 to 154 of the family's 154-position model. The record is from RNAcentral.
GAUGAGAACGUAGCGAAAUGCGAUAAGUAAUGUGAAUUGCAGAAUUCAGUGAAUCAUCGAAUCUUUGAACGCACCUUGCGCCCUUUGGCCAUUCCGAAGGGCAUGCCUGUUUGAGUAUCAUGAACACCUCAACUCUUUAUGGUUUUCCAUGAUGAGCUUGGACUCUGGGGGUUUUGCUGGCUCACAGUCGGCUCCUCUGAAAUGAAUCAGCUUACCAGUGUUUGGUGGGUAUCAUAGGUGUGAUAACUAUCUACGCUUGUGGUUUUUCCACCAGGUAACCUUCAGCAGUGGAGGUUCGCUGGAGCUCAUAGAUGUCUCUCCUCAGUGAGGACAGCCCUUUGAAUGUUUGAUCUCAAAUCAGGUAGGACUACCCGCUGAACUUAAGCAUAUCAAUAAGCGGAGGA